This is a small nuclear RNA of Coregonus clupeaformis (lake whitefish), 107 nucleotides long. Lineage: Eukaryota; Metazoa; Chordata; Actinopteri; Salmoniformes; Salmonidae. The record is from RefSeq and is a predicted model, not a curated record.
AUGCUUGCUUCGGCAGCACAUAUACUACAAUUGGAACGAUACAGAGAAGAUUAGCAUGGCCCCUGCACAAGGAUGACACGCAAAUUCGUGAAGCGUUCCUUUUUUUU